CGUCAUUGGCCGAAAGGACAUUAAUGAUACAUUCGUAUGUGUGUGUACCCUCAGGGCUUUCUACAGUGGAGGGGGCAGGACUCAUGCCGCACAUAUACACACAAACAUGUGUUCCAGUCCGUUCAAAGGGUGUAUGGUGUGGGAAAGGAGAUGGGGGAGGUCCCAGCGUUCUUCACGGCCCGGGCAGCCAGGCUGUCAGGGACAGGCCCGGGUGAUGAAGCCUGUGAGGAGUUUGCAGAGAUGCUCCACACAACAAUGGUAAGAGCCGUCAGGUGUGUUUCUGUGCUUGUAUGACGUCUAACAGCAUAACAGAAUGGUUCCAGACGUCCUUUGCCCAAAGGUCAAGGGCAUGGGGAUUAUAUAUCAAGUGUCUCUGUCGUCAUGUUGGUUUCUAGAGAUCACCAGACAUAUCGCACGUGUACGACUGCACACACACGAGCAAGGCAGGCACAAAGCAGCUCAACAGACGAGUCCUCAUCAGCUGCAUCCGUUCAUAGUCAUGAACAGCUGUUUUAGUCACUGAAACAGCAUCCUUUUUUCUUAUUGAUAUUUAUGUGUGCUUUCAUUUUAUUUAAAACAAGUGUUAGACAUGCAAAAAUGUCUACAUUCUUGCUUAACUUGGACUAACCCUGUUAAAAAAUGCUAAUUUUGUUUUCUGAAUCAUUGUUUCUGGCACUGAAAGGGUUAGUUAGUCUGUGAAUUCUCCCCUGCCAACUCCCAGGCAGUUGAAGUAACCCAAUUCGGAGGCAUCUGUUCGGGGAAGGGCAUGUAUCUGCUUCCCCCUCGCCCUGAUUCCUCUCCGCUCAUCUCCUCCUCCCGGAGCUGUGGUUAGCCCUGCCCUUACAGGUCAUGUGACUUCUCUGAAACUCCCUCCUCCCCUGCCUCCCCCCGUGUUUCCAGUAAACUGCUGAAAGGAGGGGCUGAGUCAGUCUUCAACCAGCUUCCCUUUGACCACAGCUUGUUAAAGAAUUUGUCAACGUGGACUCCAGGGUGUAAAUUUUUUUCGUCCUUGUGAUAGAUUUGAAUUUUUUCAUCUCUCCCUCCCUGGACUGGUCCGAUUACGUCAGGCACCCAUAAUCACUUCCUGCACUUUGCCGUAGAAAGAGAGUGUGUGCGUAUGAGAGAGAGAGAGAGAGAGAGAGAGAGAGAGCGGCUCAUAUAAUGGACUUUGAUAUUUGGAGGCAUGUGUGCCAGAGACAUUUGUCUUGGUGCCUGUCUGAAAAGGUUUCAUUCAGAAAAAAGACGGGAAUAAUAAUCCAAGAAGGGGGGGGGGGGGUACAAUUUUGUUUUUAACUUGAUUACGAUCUUCCUGUGAUUCUCCCAGCUGGCGAUCUGAUUUUCCAGUAUUAGAUCAUGCGUAAUAUUUGCUUUUGCAAACUCACUUGCUCCACAGACAGAUAAAUUAACUUUUUGUGUAAAUGAAACGGAAACUGAUGCAAAUAAACUCUAAGCUACCACUGAAAUCUUUUACCUAAC
This 1476-nucleotide long non-coding RNA is filed under the name Sinocyclocheilus grahami. RNAcentral's name for it is "lncRNA (ENSSGRG00000054170.1)". Lineage: Eukaryota; Metazoa; Chordata; Actinopteri; Cypriniformes; Cyprinidae. The record is from RNAcentral.